This 21-nucleotide microRNA is filed under the name Nematostella vectensis (starlet sea anemone). Its description in RNAcentral is "nve-miR-2028-5p". The record is from miRBase by way of RNAcentral. Lineage: Eukaryota; Metazoa; Cnidaria; Anthozoa; Actiniaria; Edwardsiidae.
UAAUGUUCCUGCUUGUUCCUA